RNAcentral lists this ribosomal RNA (426 nucleotides) under uncultured bacterium. RNAcentral's name for it is "partial 16S ribosomal RNA". It matches the Rfam family "Bacterial small subunit ribosomal RNA", at positions 354 to 796 of the family's 1533-position model. The record is from RNAcentral.
GUGAGGAAUUUUCCGCAAUGGGCGAAAGCCUGACGGAGCAAUGCCGCGUGAAGGAUGAAGGCCUAUGGGUUGUAAACUUCUUUUCUCAGAAAAGAAUUAUGACGGUAUCUGAGGAAUAAGCAUCGGCUAACUCUGUGCCAGCAGCCGCGGUAAGACAGAGGAUGCAAGCGUUAUCCGGAAUGAUUGGGCGUAAAGCGUCUGUAGGUUGUUUAAAAAGUAUUCUGUCAAAGAUUAGGGCUUAACCCUAGAUAGGCAGAAUAAACUUUUAAGCUAGAGUUUGGUAGAGGCAGAGGGAAUUCCCGGUGGAGCGGUGAAAUGCGUAGAUAUCGGGAGGAACACCAAAGGCGAAGGCACUCUGCUGGGCCAAUACUAACACUGAGAGACGAAAGCGAGGGGAGCAAAUGGGAUUAGAUUCCCGGGUAGUCC